This 496-nucleotide ribosomal RNA is filed under the name uncultured Glomeromycotina. Its description in RNAcentral is "partial small subunit ribosomal RNA". It matches the Rfam family "Eukaryotic small subunit ribosomal RNA", at positions 591 to 1091 of the family's 1831-position model. The record is from RNAcentral. Lineage: Eukaryota; Fungi; Glomeromycota.
CCAAUAGCGUAUAUUAAAGUUGUUGCAGUUAAAAAGCUCGUAGUUGAAUUUCAGGCCUGGCUGGACGGUCCGCCCUUCGGGUGAGUACUGUCUGUGGUCGGGUCCUACCUUCUGGCGAAGCGUCAUGGCCUUAACCGGCCGUGGCGGGGAACCAGGACUUUUACUGUGAAAAAAUUAGAGUGUUCAAAGCAGGCAAUCGCUUGGAUACAUUAGCAUGGAAUAAUGGAAUAGGACAAUGGUUCUAUUUGUUGGUUUCUAGGACCGUUGUAAUGAUUAAUAGGGAUAGUUGGGUGCAUUAGUAUUCAAUUGUCAGAGGUGAAAUUCUUGGAUUUAUUGAAGACUAACUACUGCGAAAGCAUUUGCCAAGGAUGUUUUCAUUAAUCAAGAACGAAAGUUAGGGGAUCGAAGACGAUCAGAUACCGUCGUAGUCUUAACCAUAAACUAUGCCGACUAGGAAUCGGGCGAUGUUGACAAAAUGACGCGCUCGGCACCUCAU